This 452-nucleotide ribosomal RNA is filed under the name uncultured Rhodococcus sp. Its description in RNAcentral is "bacterial SSU rRNA". It matches the Rfam family "Bacterial small subunit ribosomal RNA", at positions 927 to 1382 of the family's 1533-position model. The record is from RNAcentral. Lineage: Bacteria; Bacillati; Actinomycetota; Actinomycetes; Mycobacteriales; Nocardiaceae.
AAGCGGCGGAGCAUGUGGAUUAAUUCGAUGCAACGCGAAGAACCUUACCUGGUUUGACAUAUACCGGAAAGCUGCAGAGAUGUGGCCCCCUUCGUGGUCGGUAUACAGGUGGUGCAUGGCUGUCGUCAGCUCGUGUCGUGAGAUGUGGGUUAAGUCCCGCAACGAGCGCAACCCUAUCUUAUGUUGCCAGCACGUUAUGGUGGGGACUCGUAAGAGACUGCCGGGGUCAACUCGGAGGAAGGUGGGGACGACGUCAAGUCAUCAUGCCCCUUAUGUCCAGGGCUUCACACAUGCUACAAUGGCCAGUACAGAGGGCUGCGAGACCGUGAGGUGGAGCGAAUCCCUUAAAGCUGGUCUCAGUUCGGAUCGGGGUCUGCAACUCGACCCCGUGAAGUCGGAGUCGCUAGUAAUCGCAGAUCAGCAACGCUGCGGUGAAUACGUUCCCGGGCCUU